AAGUAAUAGAAUCAUGGAAGAGUAACAAUUUUCUUUGAAGUUUCAUUUUUGGUUUGCAAUGUAGACAACAGGGGUUUACAGUUGUUCAAAUCUCAAACAUCAAAUAAGGAAACAAAUAAAAACUGAAGGAAUGAGCUCCUGGAAUCAGACCAGUGCCUUUAGAGGGAAAGUGUCUCCUGAUAUGCAUGUAUCACCUGUCCAAUCUGCAUACACCACUUUUUAUGCCCCACCUACGAUAGUAGAGGGGCAUUAUGUUUUCUGGUCUGUGCGUCCGUCCGUUCGUCCGUCCGUUCGUCCCUUCGUUCGUCCGUCUGUCCCGCCUCAGGUUAAAGUUUUUGGUCAAGGUAGUUUUUGAUGAAGCUGAAGUCCAAUCAACUUGAAACUUAGUACAUAUGUUCCUUAUGAUAUGAUCUUUCUAAUUUUAAAGACAAAUUAAACUUUUGACCCAUAUUUCACGGUCCAUUGAACA
This 469-nucleotide long non-coding RNA is filed under the name Mytilus galloprovincialis (Mediterranean mussel). Lineage: Eukaryota; Metazoa; Mollusca; Bivalvia; Mytilida; Mytilidae. The record is from RNAcentral.